GAUGAUCUUGACCAAAUUGAGGAAAAGGAGGAUGCAGAAAGAGAACUUCAAGAAGCAGAGAGAAAGCACCAAGAAGAGAUCAAAAAACUCGAGAAAGAGCGAUGAAUUUUGCGACAUCAUCAUCUUAAAUAGCAAUUCUUUGGAGCUGUUUUGAGUUUCUAGUCUCAUCUUAGAAAAAUCAACUGAUUUUAAUAACCCCAACUGUA
RNAcentral lists this unclassified non-coding RNA (206 nucleotides) under Hevea brasiliensis (rubber tree). The record is from RNAcentral. Lineage: Eukaryota; Viridiplantae; Streptophyta; Magnoliopsida; Malpighiales; Euphorbiaceae.